GACGAACGCUGGCGGCGUGCUUAACACAUGCAAGUCGAACGGAAAGGCCCUGCUUUUGUGGGGUGCUCGAGUGGCGAACGGGUGAGUAACACGUGAGUAACCUGCCCUUGACUUUGGGAUAACUUCAGGAAACUGGGGCUAAUACCGGAUAGGAGCUCCUGCUGCAUGGUGGGGGUUGGAAAGUUUCGGCGGUUGGGGAUGGACUCGCGGCUUAUCAGCUUGUUGGUGGGGUAGUGGCUUACCAAGGCUUUGACGGGUAGCCGGCCUGAGAGGGUGACCGGCCACAUUGGGACUGAGAUACGGCCCAGAGUCCUACGGGAGGCAGCGGUGGGGAAUAUUGCACAAUGGGCGGAAGCCUGAUGCAGCAACGCCGCGUGCGGGAUGACGGCCUUCGGGUUGUAAACCGCUUUCGCCUGUGACGAAGCGUGAGUGACGGUAAUGGGUAAAGAAGCACCGGCGAACUACGGG
RNAcentral lists this ribosomal RNA (468 nucleotides) under uncultured bacterium. RNAcentral describes it as "partial 16S ribosomal RNA". It matches the Rfam family "Bacterial small subunit ribosomal RNA", at positions 28 to 507 of the family's 1533-position model. The record is from RNAcentral.